Molecule: ribosomal RNA, 253 nt
Filed under: uncultured bacterium
Lineage: Bacteria
Description: partial 16S ribosomal RNA
Rfam family: Bacterial small subunit ribosomal RNA
Source: RNAcentral
UACGAAGGGUGCUAGCGUUUUUCGGAAUCACUGGGCGUAAAGCGCACGCAGGCGGAUUGAUAAGUCGGGGGUGAAAUCCGGGGGCUUAACCUCGGAAUUGCCUUCGGUACUGUCUGUCUUGAGUUUGGGAGAGGUUGGCGGAAUUCCUAGUGUAGAGGUGAAAUUCGUAGAUAUUAGGAAGAACACCAGUGGCGAAGGUGGCCAACUGGCCCGAAACUGACGCUCAGGUGCGAAAGCGUGGGGAGCAAACAGG